UGCACCCUCUACUGAAAGUCGCUCUGGAUAAGAGCGUCUGCUAAAUGACUCGAG
Salmo salar (Atlantic salmon) is the source of this 54-nucleotide non-coding RNA. NCBI's taxonomy places the organism in Eukaryota, Metazoa, Chordata, Actinopteri, Salmoniformes, Salmonidae. The record is from Rfam.